This 297-nucleotide long non-coding RNA is filed under the name Marmota monax (woodchuck). Lineage: Eukaryota; Metazoa; Chordata; Mammalia; Rodentia; Sciuridae. The record is from RNAcentral.
UAAGAUUGCUAACAUCUACUCUUAGCUNGCCGCCACAGCUGUUGAAUGCAGGCUGCUGUGCAAAAGAUUAACUCAGCGCUUCUGCGCAGACCACCCCUUCCUCUUCUUCAUCCAGCACAGCAGGACCAGAGGGAUUCUGUUCUGCGGCCGAGUUUCUUCUCCAUGAGGAAACAGUCAUCCCUGAGCGCAGUCCUCUGCUUUCACCCUCUGACCCACUUUUCUUCCCACACUCCACCAUGUGCCUGUGACCCAAGUGACCUUAUCAGUGCAGUGUAACAAUUCAGAAAUAAAGGGCCA